Molecule: non-coding RNA, 90 nt
Filed under: Rhodoferax saidenbachensis
Lineage: Bacteria; Pseudomonadati; Pseudomonadota; Betaproteobacteria; Burkholderiales; Comamonadaceae
Description: c-di-GMP sequence
Rfam family: c-di-GMP-I riboswitch aptamer
About the family: GEMM was predicted in a large-scale screen for bacterial structured RNA regulatory elements. Genes associated with GEMM are involved in a diverse array of functions, including chemotaxis regulation, signal transduction, secretion and chitin.
Source: Rfam by way of RNAcentral
GCAUCUAAAAAGCACACCUUUACGAAAGUUGGGGUCGCAAAGCUUCCGGUCUACCGCCUCCUGAGGGGCCAAGAUAGCGGAGUUGCUGAU